GCUUGCUUCUUGCUGACGAGUGGCGGACGGGUGAGUAACGCGUAGGAAUCUACCCAUCUGUGGGGGAUACCAGUUGGAAACGACUGUUAAUACCGCAUAAUAUCUGCGGAUUAAAGGUGGCCUUUGUGCUGCCGCAGAUGGAUGAGCCUGCGUUAGAUUAGCUUGUUGGUGGGGUAAGGGCCUACCAAGGCUACGAUCUAUAGCUGAUUUGAGAGGAUGAUCAGCCACAUUGGGACUGAGACACGGCCCAAACUCCUACGGGAGGCAGCAGUGGGGAAUAUUGGACAAUGGGCGAAAGCCUGAUCCAGCAAUGCCAUGUGUGUGAAGAAGGCUCUAGGGUUGUAAAGCACUUUAGUUGGGGAGGAAAGCUUAUGAGUUAAUAGCUCAUAGGAAGGACGUUACCCAAAGAAUAAGGACCGGCUAACUCCGUGCCAGCAGCCGCGGUAAUACGGGGGGUCCGAGCGUUAAUCGGAAUUACUGGGCGUAAAGGGUCUGUAGGUGGUUUGUUAAGUCAGAUGUGAAAGCCCAGGGCUCAACCUUGGAACUGCAUUUGAUACUGGCAAACUAGAGUAUAGUAGAGGAAUGGGGAAUUUCUGGUGUAGCGGUGAAAUGCGUAGAGAUCAGAAGGAACACCAAUGGCGAAGGCAACAUUCUGGACUAAUACUGACACUGAGGGACGAAAGCGUGGGGAUCAAACAGGAUUAGAUACCCUGGUAGUCCACGCUGUAAACGAUGAGUACUAGCUGUUGGAGUCGGUGUAAAGGCUCUAGUGGCGUAGCUAACGCGUUAAGUACUCCGCCUGGGGACUACGGCCGCAAGGCUAAAACUCAAAGGAAUUGACGGGGA
This 846-nucleotide ribosomal RNA is filed under the name Francisella uliginis. Its description in RNAcentral is "bacterial SSU rRNA". It matches the Rfam family "Bacterial small subunit ribosomal RNA", at positions 78 to 919 of the family's 1533-position model. Lineage: Bacteria; Pseudomonadati; Pseudomonadota; Gammaproteobacteria; Thiotrichales; Francisellaceae. The record is from RNAcentral.